AAUGGGUCAGCGACUUAUAUUCUGUAGCAAGGUUAACCGAAUAGGGGAGCCGAAGGGAAACCGAGUCUUAACUGGGCGUUAAGUUGCAGGGUAUAGACCCGAAACCCGGUGAUCUAGCCAUGGGCAGGUUGAAGGUUGGGUAACACUAACUGGAGGACCGAACCGACUAAUGUUGAAAAAUUAGCGGAUGACUUGUGGCUGGGGGUGAAAGGCCAAUCAAACCGGGAGAUAGCUGGUUCUCCCCGAAAGCUAUUUAGGUAGCGCCUCGUGAACUCAUCUCCGGGGGUAGAGCACUGUUUCGGCAAGGGGGUCAUCCCGACUUACCAACCCGAUGCAAACUGCGAAUACCGGAGAAUGUUAUCACGGGAGACACACGGCGGGUGCUAACGUCCGUCGUGAAGAGGGAAACAACCCAGACCGCCAGCUAAGGUCCCAAAGUCAUGGUUAAGUGGGAAACGAUGUGGGAAGGCCCAGACAGCCAGGAUGUUGGCUUAGAAGCAGCCAUCAUUUAAAGAAAGCGUAAUAGCUCACUGGUCGAGUCGGCCUGCGCGGAAGAUGUAACGGGGCUAAACCAUGCACCGAAGCUGCGGCAGCGACGCUUAUGCGUUGUUGGGUA
Molecule: ribosomal RNA, 616 nt
Filed under: Escherichia coli
Lineage: Bacteria; Pseudomonadati; Pseudomonadota; Gammaproteobacteria; Enterobacterales; Enterobacteriaceae
Description: partial 23S ribosomal RNA
Rfam family: Bacterial large subunit ribosomal RNA
Source: RNAcentral